This 487-nucleotide ribosomal RNA is filed under the name uncultured Bacteroidota bacterium. Its description in RNAcentral is "bacterial SSU rRNA". It matches the Rfam family "Bacterial small subunit ribosomal RNA", at positions 893 to 1382 of the family's 1533-position model. Lineage: Bacteria; Pseudomonadati; Bacteroidota. The record is from RNAcentral.
UCAGAAACUCAAAGGAAUUGACGGGGGCCCGCACAAGCGGUGGAGCAUGUGGUUUAAUUCGAUGAUACGCGAGGAACCUUACCUGGGCUCAAAUGUAUGUUGACGUAUUCUGAAAGGGAUACUUCUUCGGACAAUAUACAAGGUGCUGCAUGGUUGUCGUCAGCUCGUGCCGUGAGGUGUCGGGUUAAGUCCCAUAACGAGCGCAACCCCUACUGCUAGUUGCCAGCGGGUCAUGCCGGGGACUCUAGCGGAACUGCCAGCGUAAGCUGCGAGGAAGGUGGGGAUGACGUCAAAUCAGCACGGCCCUUACGUCCAGGGCUACACACGUGUUACAAUGGCCAGUACAGAGGGCAGCCACCCCGCGAGGGGGCGCUAAUCCUAAAAGCUGGUCCCAGUUCGGAUCGGAGUCUGCAACCCGACUCCGUGAAGCUGGAUUCGCUAGUAAUCGCGCAUCAGCCACGGCGCGGUGAAUACGUUCCCGGGCCUU